RNAcentral lists this ribosomal RNA (489 nucleotides) under Triticum aestivum (bread wheat). Its description in RNAcentral is "partial small subunit ribosomal RNA". The record is from RNAcentral. Lineage: Eukaryota; Viridiplantae; Streptophyta; Magnoliopsida; Poales; Poaceae.
AUGGACUGCUGCCUAAUGCAUGUGCUUGUGGGGGCCGAUGCAUCAUGCGUGCCUCACCUCCAUCGAUGCCGCGGCGGGCCGAUGCAUCAUGCGUGCCUCACCUCCAUCGAUGUCGCGGCAGUUGGAGAGAGAGAGAGAUGGACUGGCGCCUACGACGCGCUGGUCGACGUCGCGGCCGCCACCGCGGCCGCCGCCCUCCGCGAGCCCGGGUGCAUGGUGGCGCUCACGGACCUCCACCGCUGCCUCGACGCCUUCAGCGAGUCCUGCGACCGAGCAGAGGGCCUCAUCCAGGAGGCCGCCGCUGGCCUCAGCCCCACCACCUCCUGCGACGACGAGCUGUGCCACGCCGUGCACGCGGUCGACAAAGAAUUCCGGGCCGCCGCCGGCGGCCGGGAGGAGAACGGAUGGAAGAUGAGAAGAAUCACCCUCCGACUACGCCAUUGGCAGCCGAGGACAGAAGCACAAUCGAUCUAUCUCGUCUCUUGUUGA